UACAGAGGCCCCAAGCAUUACCCGGAAUCACUGGGCGUAAAGGGUGCGUAGGUGGCGUUAUUAGUCCUCCUUUAAAUCUUCAAGGCUCAACCUUGAAGCUCGGGGGGAAACGGUAACGCUCGAGGAUGUAAGAGGUGUGUGGAACUCUAGGUGUAGGGGUGAAAUCCGUUGAUAUCUAGGGGAACAUCGAAUGCGAAGGCAGCACACUGGGACAUUCCUGACACUGAGGCACGAAAGCGUGGGUAGCGAAAAGG
RNAcentral lists this ribosomal RNA (254 nucleotides) under uncultured bacterium. RNAcentral's name for it is "partial 16S ribosomal RNA". It matches the Rfam family "Bacterial small subunit ribosomal RNA", at positions 524 to 776 of the family's 1533-position model. The record is from RNAcentral.